AGCGAACGCUGGCGGCAGGCUUAACACAUGCAAGUCGAGCGCCCCGCAAGGGGAGCGGCAGACGGGAGAGUAACACGUGGGAACGUACCCUUCAGUUCGGAACAACCCAGGGAAACUUGGGCUAAUACCGAAUACGUCCGUAAGGAGAAAGAUUUAUCGCUGAAGGAUCGGCCCGCGUCUGAUUAGCUAGUUGGUGAGGUAACGGCUCAACAAGGCGACGAUCAGUAGCUGGUCUGAGAGGAUGAUCAGCCUCACUGGGACUGAGACACGGCCCAGACUCCUACGGGAGGCAGCAGUGGGGAAUAUUGGACAAUGGGCGCAAGCCUGAUCCAGCCAUGCCGCGUGGAUGAUGAAGGCCUUAGGGUUGUAAAGUCCUUUUAACGGGGAAGAUAAUGACGGUACCCGUAGAAUAAGCCCCGGCUAACUUCGUGCCAGCAGCCGCAGUAA
This 447-nucleotide ribosomal RNA is filed under the name uncultured bacterium. RNAcentral describes it as "partial 16S ribosomal RNA". It matches the Rfam family "Bacterial small subunit ribosomal RNA", at positions 29 to 523 of the family's 1533-position model. The record is from RNAcentral.